Molecule: transfer RNA, 69 nt
Filed under: Procyon lotor (raccoon)
Lineage: Eukaryota; Metazoa; Chordata; Mammalia; Carnivora; Procyonidae
Description: transfer RNA-Gly
Source: RNAcentral
AUCUUUCUAGUAUUAAUAAGUACAGCUGACUUCCAAUCAACUAGUUCUGGUUUACCCCAGAGAAAGAUA